This 305-nucleotide ribosomal RNA is filed under the name uncultured bacterium. Its description in RNAcentral is "bacterial SSU rRNA". It matches the Rfam family "Bacterial small subunit ribosomal RNA", at positions 338 to 657 of the family's 1533-position model. The record is from RNAcentral.
CCUACGGGGGGCAGCAGUGGGGAAUAUUGGGCAAUGGGCGCAAGCCUGACCCAGCAACGCCGCGUGAAGGAAGAAGGCUUUCGGGUUGUAAACUUCUUUUACCAGGGACGAAGAAAGUGACGGUACCUGGAGAAUAAGCCACGGCUAACUACGUGCCAGCAGCCGCGGUAAUACGUAGGUGGCGAGCGUUGUCCGGAUUUACUGGGUGUAAAGGGCGCGUAGGCGGGAAUGCAAGUCAGAUGUGAAAUCCAUGGGCUUAACCCAUGAACUGCAUUUGAAACUGUAUUUCUUGAGUGUCGGAGAGG